This 459-nucleotide ribosomal RNA is filed under the name uncultured bacterium. RNAcentral's name for it is "partial 16S ribosomal RNA". It matches the Rfam family "Bacterial small subunit ribosomal RNA", at positions 338 to 795 of the family's 1533-position model. The record is from RNAcentral.
CCUACGGGAGGCAGCAGUGAGGAAUAUUGGUCAAUGGCCGAGAGGCUGAACCAGCCAAGUCGCGUGAGGGAAGACGGCCCUACGGGUUGUAAACCUCUUUUGUCGGGGAGCAAAGAGAGUCACGUGUGACUCAUUGAGAGUACCCGAAGAAAAAGCAUCGGCUAACUCCGUGCCAGCAGCCGCGGUAAUACGGGGGAUUCGAGCGUUUUCCGGAUUUGUUGGGUUUAAAGGGUGCGCAGGCGGAGGUGCAAGUCAGCGGUAAAAGUGCGGGGCUCAACCCCGUACUGCCGUUGAAACUGCAUGGCUUGAGUGCGCGAGAAGUAGGCGGAAUGCGUGGUGUAGCGGUGAAAUGCAUAGAUAUCACGCAGAACUCCGAUUGCGAAGGCAGCAUACCGGCGCGCAACUGACGCUCAGGCACGAAAGCGUGGGGAUCGAACAGGAUUAGAUACCCGUGUAGUC